AGGAGAGGAAACGCUUUCUGGAGAGAAAGAGGGAAAGUUUAAAGAGAAGACUGCAGUUGGUAGAAAAUGAGUUUGGAGGAAACGUGGUGAGCCUUUCCUCUCCAGCUGAACGUCAGUAGGUCACAGUGGGAGCAGAGGUCUGGACCAAAGAGCUGUCUCAAGCCCAAAUCAUUUCAGAUGGAGGUGGAUGCAGACGAUAAGCGCCAUCGCACACGCUCCAAAGUGCCUGUGGAUCCAGCAUUAACAGAGCUUUUCAGUGUGUACGGCUGCCCUCUGGCCAAGAAGAGAAAGAGUCUAGACAGACAAACCCUGGA
This 314-nucleotide long non-coding RNA is filed under the name Sphaeramia orbicularis (orbiculate cardinalfish). RNAcentral describes it as "lncRNA (ENSSORG00005025003.1)". The record is from RNAcentral. Lineage: Eukaryota; Metazoa; Chordata; Actinopteri; Kurtiformes; Apogonidae.